RNAcentral lists this ribosomal RNA (442 nucleotides) under uncultured bacterium. RNAcentral describes it as "partial 16S ribosomal RNA". It matches the Rfam family "Bacterial small subunit ribosomal RNA", at positions 338 to 795 of the family's 1533-position model. The record is from RNAcentral.
CCUACGGGAGGCAGCAGUGGGGAAUAUUGGGCAAUGGAGGCAACUCUGACCCAGCAAUGCCGCGUGAGUGAUGAAGGUAAUUUUAUUGUAAAGCUCUUUUCUUUGGAACGAAUAAAUGACGGUACCAAAGGAAUAAGCCCCGGCUAACUACGUGCCAGCAGCCGCGGUAAUACGUAGGGGGCAAGCGUUGUUCGGAAUGACUGGGCGUAAAGGGUGUGUAGGUGGUUUGAUAAGUUAGAUGUGAAAACUCAGGGCUCAACCCUGAGCCUGCAUUUGAAACUGUUUUUCUUGAGUGCUGGAGAGGCAAUCGGAAUUCCGUGUGUAGCGGUGAAAUGCGUAGAUAUACGGAGGAACACCAGUGGCGAAGGCGGAUUGCUGGACAGUAACUGACGCUGAGGCGCGAAAGCGUGGGGAGCAAACAGGAUUAGAUACCCGUGUAGUC